Molecule: long non-coding RNA, 405 nt
Organism: Zonotrichia leucophrys gambelii
Lineage: Eukaryota; Metazoa; Chordata; Aves; Passeriformes; Passerellidae
Exons: 3
Source: RefSeq, a predicted model, not a curated record
AGAGGAUUUUUGCCUUUUGAAGACUUCAAGAGAGCUUUCAAUUCUGUUUCUUCAAAGUUAUCUGAGAAAAUCUUAUUUGAAGCCACCAGUCAUACUCAACAAAAUGAUCAGGGGUUUAUUAUACACCUGAUGUGCACCUGAGUAGAAUGCCAUUGAACCAUAAAAACUCAACAUUCUGGACACAGGAGUUGCAGAAGUGGCUGCUAAGGGACUACCCACACAGAUGCUGAUGAUUUUUAAUUGCAUUGGAUGAUAGAAACUGCAAAAAAGACUGACCCAACCAACUGAUUUCAAAUGAGUUGAACAAAAUUAUUGAACAGCCAUUAGAUGACAACAGCUCAUGCUCAUUUUCAUCCGAAGCUGAACCUUUACUCUGAACGGAAAAUUAUUACUUAAGUUCUUUCA